UAGCGUAUAUUAAAGUUGUUGCAGUUAAAAAGCUCGUAGUUGAAUUUCGGGAUUAGUACGUCGGUCGUGCCUUAGGUACGUACUGGUGUUACUGGUUCCUACCUUCUGACGAACCAUCAUGUCAUUAAUUUGGUGUGGUGGGGAAUCAGGACUGUUACUUUGAAAAAAUUAGAGUGUUUAAAGCAGGCUCGCGCUUGAAUACAUUAGCAUGGAAUAAUGAAAUAGGACGUUGAUCCUAUUUUGUUGGUUUCUAGGAUUGACGUAAUGAUUAAUAGGGAUAGUUGGGGGCAUUAGUAUUCAAUUGUCAGAGGUGAAAUUCUUGGAUUUAUUGAAGACUAACUACUGCGAAAGCAUUUGCCAAGGAUGUUUUCAUUAAUCAAGAACGAAAGUUAGGGGAUCGAAGACGAUCAGAUACCGUCGUAGUCUUAACCAUAAACUAUG
Molecule: ribosomal RNA, 441 nt
Filed under: uncultured Glomus
Lineage: Eukaryota; Fungi; Glomeromycota; Glomeromycetes; Glomerales; Glomeraceae
Description: SSU rRNA
Rfam family: Eukaryotic small subunit ribosomal RNA
Source: RNAcentral